Pelobates cultripes (western spadefoot toad) is the source of this 392-nucleotide non-coding RNA. The record is from the annotation of a GenBank genome assembly. NCBI's taxonomy places the organism in Eukaryota, Metazoa, Chordata, Amphibia, Anura, Pelobatidae.
CUCAUCGUCGGUUUCGGCACACCACAACCGACUUGCUCCUUUUAUCAUCCUACGCUUAUUCAUGGUAUUUCACACUGUACUAUCUUAAGCACCUAACACAAGUAUUAAGGCAAUUUGCCUGCAUUUGUGGGAGGUGCUGGUUUUCCACCCCUAGCCUACUUAAGGCACUCCCCUUGCCUGGCUCCUUACCGUUCAAGGUCAGCGUUGAAUGACCCUCCCACCACACCACUUUUAACAAUUAUUUUCCUUUCUAUUUCUUUUCCUGGGUGGGCCCUCUUCUUUCUCAGGCCUACCUCAUCGUCGGUUUCGGCACACCACAACCGACUUGCUCCUUUUAUCAUCCUACGCUUAUUCAUGGUAUUUCACACUGUACUAUCUUAAGCACCUAACAC